Molecule: ribosomal RNA, 582 nt
Filed under: uncultured bacterium
Lineage: Bacteria
Description: bacterial SSU rRNA
Rfam family: Bacterial small subunit ribosomal RNA
Source: RNAcentral
GGUGAAUCUUCACGGAAUCUAUGGUGGCGCGCACAAGUGCUGGAGCAUGUGGUGUAAUUUGAUGACACGCGAGGAACUCUACCUAGGCUAGAAUGCGCGUGACCGGCUCAGAGAUGAGCCUUUCCUUCGGGACACAAAGCAAGGUGCUGCAUGGCCGUCGUCAGCUCGUGCCGUGAGGUGUUGGGUUAAGUCCCGCAACGAGCGCAACCCCUAUGUUUAGUUGCCAGCAUGUAAUGAUGGGGACUCUAGACAGACUGCCUGCGCAAGCAGUGAGGAAGGCGGGGACGACGUCAGGUCAUCAUGGCCCUUACGCCUAGGGCGACACACGUGCUACAAUGGACGGUACAGCGGGUAGCUACACAGCGAUGUGAUGCCAAUCUCGAAAAGCCGUUCUCAGUUCGGAUUGGAGUCUGCAACUCGACUCCAUGAAGCUGGAAUCACUAGUAAUCGCGCAUCAGCCAUGGCGCGGUGAAUACGUUCCCGGGCCUUGUACACACCGCCCGUCAAGCCAUGAAAGUCUGGUAGACCUGAAGCUGGUGCUCCGCAACGAAGCCAGUUAGGGAGACACAUGAGUUGCCUCUC